UGAGUAACCUGCCCUUCACUCUGGGAUAACUCCGGGAAACCGGGGCUAAUACUGGAUAUGACUCGAACAGGCAUCUGUUUCGGGUGGAAAGAUUUAUUGGUGGAGGAUGGACUCGCGGCCUAUCAGCUUGUUGGUGAGGUAAUGGCUCACCAAGGCGACGACGGGUAGCCGGCCUGAGAGGGCGAUCGGCCACACUGGGACUGAGACACGGCCCAGACCUCCGUACGGGGAGCA
This 234-nucleotide ribosomal RNA is filed under the name uncultured bacterium. Its description in RNAcentral is "partial 16S ribosomal RNA". It matches the Rfam family "Bacterial small subunit ribosomal RNA", at positions 118 to 350 of the family's 1533-position model. The record is from RNAcentral.